AGCUUUGUACACUGGCAGUAUCAUAGCCAGUGAGGUUUAUCCGACGCGCAAUUAUUGCUAAUUGAAGUAUCCACAUAGAUUGGACACUUUAGGUACCUCAUUCCAAAGGUUUUCUUUUUUUGUCCAACUGUGGGGCCUAUAUAUUUUUUGUUGGUUGCUCAAU
Molecule: small nuclear RNA, 163 nt
Filed under: Moschus moschiferus (Siberian musk deer)
Lineage: Eukaryota; Metazoa; Chordata; Mammalia; Artiodactyla; Moschidae
Description: U4 spliceosomal RNA (ENSMMSG00000007790.1)
Rfam family: U4 spliceosomal RNA (bases 1-134)
About the family: U4 small nuclear RNA (U4 snRNA) is a component of the major U2-dependent spliceosome. The structure of U4 snRNA from yeast and human has been reported. U4 snRNA presents a k-turn RNA motif in the 5p-SL related to recognition of Snu13 protein.
Source: RNAcentral